RNAcentral lists this ribosomal RNA (414 nucleotides) under uncultured bacterium. RNAcentral's name for it is "bacterial SSU rRNA". It matches the Rfam family "Bacterial small subunit ribosomal RNA", at positions 355 to 786 of the family's 1533-position model. The record is from RNAcentral.
UGGGGAAUAUUGCACAAUGGGGAAAGCCCUGAUGCAACAACGCCGCGUGAAGGAAGACGGUUUUCGGAUUGUAAACUUCUGUUCUUAGUGAAGAAUAAUGACGGUAGCUAAGGAGCAAGCCACGGCUAACUACGUGCCAGCAGCCGCGGUAAUACGUAGGUGGCAAGCGUUGUCCGGAAUUACUGGGUGUAAAGGGAGCGCAGGCGGGAGACCAAGUCAGCUGUGAAAACUACGGGCUUAACCUGUAGACUGCAGUUGAAACUGGUUUUCUUGAGUGAAGUAGAGGUUGGCGGAAUUCCGAGUGUAGCGGUGAAAUGCGUAGAUAUUCGGAGGAACACCGGUGGCGAAGGCGGCCAACUGGGCUUUAACUGACGCUGAGGCUCGAAAGUGUGGGAGCAAACAGGAUUAGAUACC